GACGGAGGGUGCUAGCGUUGUUCGGAAUCACUGGGCGUAAAGGGCGCGUAGGCGGCCGCCCGCGUCGGACGUGAAAGCCCGGGGCUCAACCCCGGAACGGCGUCCGAUACGGGGCGGCUCGAGGCCGGGAGAGGGGGGUGGAAUACCCAGUGUAGAGGUGAAAUUCGUAGAUAUUGGGUGGAACACCGGUGGCGAAAGCGGCCCCCUGGCCCGGUCCUGACGCUGAGGCGCGAAAGCGUGGGGAGCAAACGGG
Molecule: ribosomal RNA, 253 nt
Filed under: uncultured bacterium
Lineage: Bacteria
Description: partial 16S ribosomal RNA
Rfam family: Bacterial small subunit ribosomal RNA
Source: RNAcentral